GUGAAUCAUCGAAUUUUUGAACGCAAAUUGCACUCUCUGGGAUUCCGGUGAGUAUGCCUGUGUGAGGGUCAGUUUAAAUAAAAAUCGGCGUUGUUGCUGCCUUUCGUGGUUACGCACCGGAUUUGGGUUGUCCUGUCUUCGGUUAAGCGACCUAAAAUUUUGUAUGAUUUUUUUCGAACGUUUUUAAAUGAUUUUUCUUACGUUUGCGAUAUCGAAUUCUUGGUGUGGUG
This 230-nucleotide unclassified non-coding RNA is filed under the name Glomeraceae sp. RNAcentral's name for it is "partial contains 5.8S ribosomal RNA and internal transcribed spacer 2". The stretch from base 1 to 71 matches the Rfam family "5.8S ribosomal RNA", at positions 84 to 154 of the family's 154-position model. Lineage: Eukaryota; Fungi; Glomeromycota; Glomeromycetes; Glomerales; Glomeraceae. The record is from RNAcentral.